ACGCUGGCGGCAGGCCUAACACAUGCAAGUCGAGCGGUAGAGAGAAGCUUGCUUCUCUUGAGAGCGGCGGACGGGUGAGUAAUGCCUAGGAAUCUGCCUGGUAGUGGGGGAUAACGUUCGGAAACGGACGCUAAUACCGCAUACGUCCUACGGGAGAAAGCAGGGGACCUUCGGGCCUUGCGCUAUCAGAUGAGCCUAGGUCGGAUUAGCUAGUUGGUGGGGUAAUGGCUCACCAAGGCGACGAUCCGUAACUGGUCUGAGAGGAUGAUCAGUCACACUGGAACUGAGACACGGUCCAGACUCCUACGGGAGGCAGCAGUGGGGAAUAUUGGACAAUGGGCGAAAGCCUGAUCCAGCCAUGCCGCGUGUGUGAAGAAGGUCUUCGGAUUGUAAAGCACUUUAAGUUGGGAGGAAGGGCAGUUGCCUAAUACGUAACUGUUUUGACGUUACCGACAGAAUAAGCACCGGCUAACUCUGUGCCAGCAGCCGCGGUAAUACAGAGGGUGCAAGCGUUAAUCGGAAUUACUGGGCGUAAAGCGCGCGUAGGUGGUUUGUUAAGUUGGAUGUGAGAUCCCCGGGCUCAACCUGGGAACUGCAUUCAAAACUGACUGACUAGAGUAUGGUAGAGGGUGGUGGAAUUUCCUGUGUAGCGGUGAAAUGCGUAGAUAUAGGAAGGAACACCAGUGGCGAAGGCGACCACCUGGACUGAUACUGACACUGAGGUGCGAAAGCGUGGGGAGCAAAC
Molecule: ribosomal RNA, 745 nt
Filed under: uncultured bacterium
Lineage: Bacteria
Description: bacterial SSU rRNA
Rfam family: Bacterial small subunit ribosomal RNA
Source: RNAcentral